Equus caballus (horse) is the source of this 2739-nucleotide long non-coding RNA. Lineage: Eukaryota; Metazoa; Chordata; Mammalia; Perissodactyla; Equidae. The record is from Ensembl.
AAACAGUCUUUCCUGGCUUGGUCUUCUUCUCCUUUUAAAAUGUUUUAUAAUAACCUUUGUUUUCCCUUUAUACCAUCUAUUACAGACUAAAAUUCUAUUUUAGUGUGCUAUUAUUUAAUUAUUAACUCCCUCAUUCAGUGGAUUGUAAGGUUUAUUUUAUCUCCUUGGCUUAGAAGAUGGCCUGGCACAUGGUAGACUCUUAAAAAUUGUUGAGUGAAUAAAUGAGUGUGUUGCCACUGAGGCAUGAAGUUGAGGAAUCUCCAAUAGGCUGUUGGACAUAGAUGUGUCUGGAGGUAGUAAAAGAGAGUGGGAUGCAGAUACUCUCUUUGAAGAUGAUGAAAUCACCAAGAGAGUGUAGAGGGAGAUGAGAAGAAAGUCAAGGAAAGAAGGAGGAAGCGGUCAACAAGACUAAGAAGAACUGGGUAAGGCAUCUGGCUGGAGGACUAUUGAGUCAGCCUAACACCUCGAAGCCAAAAUAAGCAGCUUUUCUUGCAUAAACUCCACGUAAUCAAAGGUGAUCACAAUAUUCUAUUUUAGUUAUCCUGACCAAAAUUUCCUAAUUUUUUUUUCAUGAGGAAAAUUCACCCUGAGCUAAUCUCAGUUGAUAAUCUUCCUCUUUUUGCUUGAGGAAGAUUCGCCCUGAACUAACAUCUGUGCCAGUCUUCCUUUACUUUGUCUGCUGGUCUCCUCCACAACCUGGCUGCUGAUGAGUGGUGUAGGUCCAUGCCCAGGAUUUGAACCUGGGCCUCCAAAGUGGAAUGGGCUGAACUUAACCACUAAGUCAUGGGGCUGGCCCCUCCUUUUAAAUUUUAAUUUGCCUUUCUGUGAAAUAUAUAAAGCAGAAAGAAAUGGAUUGUUCAGUAAAUUCCUGGAAAACUUCGGGGCUCAAAAACCGUGUUUAAUCUAAAAAUUUAUGGAAAACAAUUAAAGUAUAUUCCUCACUGAAGUUGAAGGUAACAAGAAUCCACAUGUGUAUUAGCCAUCCAUGGAAAUCUCUCCAGAAGAUUACCCUUGGAGGAAUACACUGUUAAUAUAGCUGGUUCAGUCCAGGUUGCCUCCUCAAGCUCAUCUAAAAUAGCAAUAAGUUCUAAAAGUAAGAUAAGCUGGAUCUAACUAAUUGUAACAUGUUCUAUGCAAAGUAAUGAUGUAAUGACAAACAAUUUUGGGGACCAAUAAACCUAUUGAUAAAGAAGAGAGAGAGAAUCAUUUGACUGUUUAUGUAUGAAAGGGAAAAACGAACAUACAUUUUAUGGUUAUAUCACAGAAUAUAUUUGUGGUGGCAAUGGGUACGCUAGGCACCACAGUUUGAGUUCACAGCUCCUUUAUUUUGUUUCUGUACCUACUGCUAUUACUACGACCACUAAGAAUGCCAACAACAAUGAAAAUGACUCUGACGAUGUUAGCUCAAUUUUUUGUGUGCCGAAGGACUCUGCUAAUCACUUAAAAUUCAUUAUCUCAUUUAAUACUCACAACAAAAAUAUAAGUUGGCACAUCUUUUUUCCUGUUGUUCUUAUAAGGAAAUAGAGGAUUUGAGAAGUUAAGUAAAUUGCCCAAGAUUGUGCACCUAAGGAGUGGCAUAGAUGAGACUCCAGCCCAGAUCUAUUUGACUAUAAAGCCCAUGCUCAUAACUAUCAUCAGCUUUUCUGAAAGUUGUUUUGUUUUCUAUUUGUCUACUGAGCAGUCUAAAACUAAAUCUAUAAAAUGUUGUGUAGAGGACUAGACCCAGGAUUCAAAACCUCCCCAAAGCAUGGACAGUCCUCGAGGCCCACGCCACAAUAACCAGCUGUGCCUCCCCUUGCAGCUUUGACCAGGUUGUCAUCCAUCCACCAGCUCUGGUUUGUCUAAGAGGCUGGGAAGUCAACACCAGGGCACUGGCCGAUUUGAUUUCUGGUGAGGGCCUUCCUUCUGAAUUGACUGAGUUUUGGUUUGGAUAAGAACUUAAUAUCAAAUGGUGGAUGGUUGGGGUAUUAAUGUUACGGAACCAGCUUCAUCUUUGCCCGUUGCCCAGAAAGCCAGACACAUAGACGACGAGAUUGCAGCAGGGAGAGGGGUUUUAAUCACAAGGCAGCCAGGUGAGGAAAUGGGAGAAUGAGUCUCAAAUCUGCCUCCCCGAAAAUGGGGACUCAGGGAUAUUUACAGGGUAGCGGACAAGGUGGUCUGAAGUGUGGAGAUAGAUUGGAGGUGAGGAGAGGUGAGGUAAGUGAUGAUCUGUGCAAGCGUAGUCAGACCGUGCCUCUUCAUAGGGCGCAUGUUCACAAAAUGGCGGCAUCAGCGUGAUCUGAGGGUGGAGUUUUUAGUCUCUUGAUGUCAAAAGGUCACUUAUCGGGCAUCUGCACAGGCCCGGUUGAUGGUCUGGUGGUCUCAACUGGCCUAAAGUGGACUAGGGGGUCCUAAUUCCUGAAAAACAGCUCAAACACCCAUUAACAUGAUGACCCAGGCUCUAGGGAGAUAUUAUCUGCAGGAACCUGGUGGGAGUCAGGUAGCAUAUUGCCUAAGCAGCACAGUUAACGAUGUGCAGUGGAACAACUAAAAGCUAUCAUCAGUAAUUGCAAAAAAGAAAAAAAACUUUAGUUACUAGCUAUCUAAUCAUUAAUGGCUAACUGUUUACCAGUUUCAUUAAAAUAUCCCACAUAACCAAGUUUCUGUCUUCUAAAACGUGUGGGUUUGUUUUUCCUUAUGUAGUCAUAGACUAGGAUUGAGAACAUUUUAUUUUUCUUUUGAAGACAUUUUGGUAUUUAC